AGGUACAAGAUAGAAUGAGGCCUAUCAUUGGACGAGAAGGAAGAAUGGGCAGUAAAAAAGUCUGAAGGAAGAGGAGGAGACUGGAAUGGAAAGGACAGGAGACCAGACGAGACUGCAGGAGAAGUCACCAGGAGAGAACAUGGAGGCUGACGUUCAGAUUCCAUGCUGUACCUUUACAGUGAAUUUACGGUGUAUGAUGGUAGAUUAAUCAAUGAUCAGGGCGAACAUGUACUAAUGGAAUUGAAAAACAUCAGCGGAUGUUUAAAGAAAAUUAUUAUUACUUAUGAGUGAUACUUCAAUACAAUUGGAACCAGGAAGAUACUAAAAGUAAAAUUCAUAAUUACUAGAAGAUUAAAUUACACUAUUGAAAACUUAUUUCAUGUGAAAAUAAAAUAAAUUAUGAAUGAAA
Molecule: non-coding RNA, 409 nt
Organism: Rattus norvegicus (Norway rat)
Lineage: Eukaryota; Metazoa; Chordata; Mammalia; Rodentia; Muridae
Source: RefSeq, a predicted model, not a curated record